GUGGAUACCUGAUCUAUGGAAACAGCAUUUGAUUCUUGAUAAUUCUUGGCAAUUUCCAAGCAGUAUAAAACACCCCCAUCAGCAUUAAAAGAAGAAACUUUCAAAGGAUUACUUGAGGAGAAAAACGAUGAUCUCCAAUUGUUGAUGAUUCCUUCAUCAACAAUUACAAAACCUUCGACAUAAUCGAAUUUUUGGGUGUCUGGUUGUCCAUGCAAAGAGAUAAGGUACUCCUGAUCCUGUGUAAAACUUGAAAAAUUCGAAUACAAUACUCGAAUCCACCUAGCCUGGAUAAAACAAG
RNAcentral lists this long non-coding RNA (298 nucleotides) under Olea europaea subsp. europaea. Lineage: Eukaryota; Viridiplantae; Streptophyta; Magnoliopsida; Lamiales; Oleaceae. The record is from RNAcentral.